This 1684-nucleotide ribosomal RNA is filed under the name Pseudetroplus maculatus (orange chromide). RNAcentral's name for it is "16S rRNA". It matches the Rfam family "Bacterial large subunit ribosomal RNA". Lineage: Eukaryota; Metazoa; Chordata; Actinopteri; Cichliformes; Cichlidae. The record is from RNAcentral.
AGCCCAACAGCUAGCCAACCACAAUCCCCUCAACAUAACCCUUUUUAUACCCCCUAAUACACUCGACACACCUAAAUAAACCAUUCUUCCCCCUUAGUACGGGCGACGGAAACGGAAACCUAUGCGCAAUAGAGAAAGUACCGCAAGGGAAAGCUGAAAGAGUAAUGAAAUAACCCAGUAAAGCCAAAAAAAGCAGAGACUCGCCCUCGUACCUUUUGCAUCAUGAUUUAGCUAGACCCCCUAAGCAAAAAGAAUUUUAGUUUAAACCCCCGAAACCAGAUGAGCUACUCCAAGGCAGCCUAAAAUAGGGCAACCCCGUCUCUGUGGCAAAAGAGUGGGAAGAACUUUGAGUAGAGGUGACAAACCUACCGAAUCUGGUUAUAGCUGGUUGCCUAAGAACUGAAUAGAAGUUCAGCCUUUCUCCUUCUUUUUUCACAAAACCUUAAACAUCCAGACAUAAAGAAGCCUAAAGAGUUAGUUAAAGGGGGUACAGCCCCUUUAAAACAAGACACAACUUUUCAAGGAGGGAAAAGAUCAUAGACCUAAAGGUAACCAUGUUUAGGUGGGCCUAAAAGCAGCCAUCCUAGCAGAAAGCGUUAAAGCUCAAACAUCUCAUAACCCCUUAAAUCCCGAUAGCCCUAUCUAAACCCCCUAACAUUAUUAGGCCUUUCCAUGCUUCCAUGGAAGCGAUUAUGCUAAUAUGAGUAAUAAGAGACACAGCAUCUCUCCCCGCACACCCAUAAAUCGGAACGGACCCCCCACCGAAAAUUAACGGCCCCAAAAAAAGAGGGCCCUGGGCUUUCAAAUAAAUAACCAGAAAACCACCCACAACUUUAGCCGUUAAUCCCACACUGGCGUGCUCUCCCGGAAAGACUAAAAGAAAAGGAAGGAACUCGGCAAACCCAAGCCUCGCCUGUUUACCAAAAACAUCGCCUCUUGCCCCCCCCCAGAAUAAGAGGUCUCGCCUGCCCUGUGACCAUGAGUUUAACGGCCGCGGUAUUUUGACCGUGCAAAGGUAGCGCAAUCACUUGUCUUUUAAAUGAAGACCUGUAUGAAUGGCAUAACGAGGGCUUAACUGUCUCCCUUUUCCAGUCAAUGAAAUUGAUCUCCCCGUGCAGAAGCGGGGAUUAAAACAUAAGACGAGAAGACCCUAUGGAGCUUUAGACAAAGAGCAGACCAUGUUAAACACACCUAAAUAAAGGACAAAACCAAUUGGCCCCUGCCCUUAUGUCUUUGGUUGGGGCGACCGCGGGGAAACAAAAAACCCCCAUGUGGACUGAAGACAUUCCUCUUCACAACCAAGAGCCACAGCUCUAAGCAACAGAACAUCUGACCAACAAGAUCCGGCACUAAGCCGAUCAACGGACCGAGUUACCCUAGGGAUAACAGCGCAAUCUCCUUUUAGAGCCCCCAUCGACAAGGAGGUUUACGACCUCGAUGUUGGAUCAGGACAUCCUAAUGGUGCAGCCGCUAUUAAGGGUUCGUUUGUUCAACGAUUAAAGUCCUACGUGAUCUGAGUUCAGACCGGAGUAAUCCAGGUCAGUUUCUAUCUAUGAGAUGAUCUUUUCUAGUACGAAAGGACCGAAAAGAAAAGGCCCAUGUUAUAAACAAGCCUUCCCCCCAUCUAAUGAACAAAACUAAAAAAGAUAAAAGGGCAUGUUCAAACAACUCAAGAGAAUAGUAU